RNAcentral lists this long non-coding RNA (837 nucleotides) under Lonchura striata (white-rumped munia). RNAcentral's name for it is "domestica (Bengalese finch) lncRNA (ENSLSDG00000012141.1)". The record is from RNAcentral. Lineage: Eukaryota; Metazoa; Chordata; Aves; Passeriformes; Estrildidae.
ACAGUACAAAAAGGAAGAUCCAAAACAAGCAAAUCAUCACCAACCUCCAAGGAGUCAAGGAGACUUGCUGGUGGAUAGCUGGUGUCUCUCCUCCUUCAUGUCCUUGCAAGGGAUCCUGGACUGGGCACUUGGAACACACGUCUUGAUGCCUGCUGAUGGACUGGCUGCUUGGACACGGUGAGUAUACAAGUGUGGGGAAAUAAUUUUUACUUUAAAAUGCAAUCAUUUCCGCCUCCUUCAAGAUUCUGCAGUGAACUUUGCUGCACUGUUGCAACACUAUUUCCUACAUUUGUUCAAAGAGGAAAAGAUAGUUCAGGACCCUGCUUUAACCCUAACAUGAGUCAGUUCAGUGUGCAACCUCAGUCACACCGACUGGUGAAUCCAGACCAGCACUCAGGGAGCUGGAAAGAGGGGAGUAGUUCAGGAGGGAGCUGAGAAGAGAGGAUCUGAUAGGAGAAGGAUAAAGCUGCUCCCAGCCCUUGAAGUGCCUGCAAGGAGGUGCGAAGAUUUUCCAUGAUGGAAGACAACACAGGGAGCAUCACUGCGGCUGCAACACAGCCCACUCCUGCCUGUUUCCAGGCUAAAGUCACUAUAUCUCCCAUCAUCUGUGCAGCACCAAAAGAGGACCAGAAACACAAAAACAGGACCAGAGACCUACAUGGGGACGAGAUGAGGAAACAGCCUACCCAUCCACAAACACAGCCAUCUCUGACUGAAGGAUGUGGCCCAGGACAGGAUGCAACCAGGCUGACAUUCCUAAACAGAUGGCUGAAGAACAAACCCGGGCUCCAGGCUUUAGUGCUGAGUUUUACUGUAUGGACCCUGGGAUGUUUCUGA